UCCCGUUGAUCCUGCGGGAGGCAGCUGCUAUGGGGAUUCGGAUUAACCAUGCAAGUCAGGGGGCUCUUCGGAGCACCGGCAAAAUGCUCAGUAACACGUCAAUAAUCUGCCCUUAGGUAAGGAAUAAGCUCGGGAAACUGAGUCUAACUCCUUAUAGGGAAAGGAUACUGGAAUGUUCCUUUCUUCAAAGCUACGGUGCCUAAGGAUGAGUUGGCGGCCAAUUAGGCUGAUGGUGGGGUAAUGGCCCACCAUACCGAAGAUUGGUAGGGGCCUUGAGAGAGGUUGCCCCGAGAAGGGCACUGAGACACUGGCCCUAGCCCCACGGGGUGCAGCAGGUGCGAGACCUUUACAAUGCACGAAAGUGUGAUAAGGGGAUCCCUAGUGCUCAUGCAUCGCAUGGGCUUUUGCCAAGAGUAAAGAUCUUGGCGAAUAAGUGGUGGGUAAGACUGGUGCCAGCCGCCGCGGUAACACCAGCGCCACAAGUGGGAGCCGCUGUUAUUGGGCCUAAAGCGUUCGUAGCCGGUUCAGUAAAUCUUUUGUGAAAUCGUCAGGCUUAACCUGACGGCGGGCAGAAGAGACUGCUGAACUAGGGACCGGAAGGAGCUAGGAGUAUUUCUGGGGGAGCGGUAAAAUGCGAUAAUCCCAGAAGGACUACCUGUGGCGAAGGCGCCUAGCCAGGACGGAUCCGACGGUGAGGAACGAAAGCUAGGGGAGCGAACCGGAUUAGAUACCCGCGUAGUCCUAGCCGUAAACGCUGCGAGCUAGGUGUUGCGUAUCCUACAGGGAUAUGCAGUGUCGAAGCGAAGGCGUUAAGCUCGCCGCCUGGGAAGUACGGUCGCAAGACUGAAACUUAAAGGAAUUGGCGGGGGCACACCACAAGGGGUGCGGCGUGCGGUUUAAUCUAAUUCAACGCAGAGAAUCUCACCAUGGGCGACGGCAGGAUGAAGGUCAGGUUAAAGACUUUACCAGACGAGCCGAGAGGAGGUGCAUGGCCGUCGACAGCUCGUGCCGUAAGGUGUCCUGUUAAGUCAGGUAACGAGCGAGACCUAUGUCCACUAUUGCUAACAAGUCCUUUAGGAUGAUUGAGCACAUAGUGGAGACUGCAGCGGUAACGCUGAGGAAGGUGUAGGCAACGGUAGGUCUGUAUGCCCCGAAUCUCAUGGGCAACACGCGCGCAACAAUGGUAGGGACAAUGGGACACGACUCCGAAAGGAGAAGUUAAUCCUUGAAACCCUAUCUCAGUCUAGAUCGAGGUUUGUAACUCAGCCUCGUGACAAUGGAAUCCCUAGUAAUCGGACGUCAACAUCGUCCGGUGAAUAUGUCCCUGUGCCUUGCACACACCGCCCGUCAAACCAACCGAGCAGGGUUUGGGUGAGGAUCAGUUAUUUUGAUUGGUUCGAAUCUAAGUUCAGUGAGGUGGGUUAAGUCGUCACAAGGUA
This 1439-nucleotide ribosomal RNA is filed under the name metagenome. Its description in RNAcentral is "bacterial SSU rRNA". It matches the Rfam family "Archaeal small subunit ribosomal RNA". The record is from RNAcentral.